AUUGAACGCUGGCGGCAGGCCUAACACAUGCAAGUCGAGCGGUAGCACAGAGAGCUUGCUCUCGGGUGACGAGCGGCGGACGGGUGAGUAAUGUCUGGGAAACUGCCUGAUGGAGGGGGAUAACUACUGGAAACGGUAGCUAAUACCGCAUAACGUCGCAAGACCAAAGUGGGGGACCUUCGGGCCUCAUGCCAUCAGAUGUGCCCAGAUGGGAUUAGCUAGUAGGUGGGGUAACGGCUCACCUAGGCGACGAUCCCUAGCUGGUCUGAGAGGAUGACCAGCCACACUGGAACUGAGACACGGUCCAGACUCCUACGGGAGGCAGCAGUGGGGAAUAUUGCACAAUGGGCGCAAGCCUGAUGCAGCCAUGCCGCGUGUGUGAAGAAGGCCUUCGGGUUGUAAAGCACUUUCAGCGGGGAGGAAGGCGGUGAGGUUAAUAACCUCAUCGAUUGACGUUACCCGCAGAAGAAGCACCGGCUAACUCCGUGCCAGCAGCCGCGGUAAUACGGAGGGUGCAAGCGUUAAUCGGAAUUACUGGGCGUAAAGCGCACGCAGGCGGUCUGUCAAGUCGGAUGUGAAAUCCCCGGGCUCAACCUGGGAACUGCAUUCGAAACUGGCAGGCUAGAGUCUUGUAGAGGGGGGUAGAAUUCCAGGUGUAGCGGUGAAAUGCGUAGAGAUCUGGAGGAAUACCGGUGGCGAAGGCGGCCCCCUGGACAAAGACUGACGCUCAGGUGCGAAAGCGUGGGGAGCAAACAGGAUUAGAUACCCUGGUAGUCCACGCCGUAAACGAUGUCGAUUUGGAGGUUGUGCCCUUGAGGCGUGGCUUCCGGAGCUAACGCGUUAAAUCGACCGCCUGGGGAGUACGGCCGCAAGGUUAAAACUCAAAUGAAUUGACGGGGGCCCGCACAAGCGGUGGAGCAUGUGGUUUAAUUCGAUGCAACGCGAAGAACCUUACCUGGUCUUGACAUCCACAGAACUUUCCAGAGAUGGAUUGGUGCCUUCGGGAACUGUGAGACAGGUGCUGCAUGGCUGUCGUCAGCUCGUGUUGUGAAAUGUUGGGUUAAGUCCCGCAACGAGCGCAACCCUUAUCCUUUGUUGCCAGCGGUUCGGCCGGGAACUCAAAGGAGACUGCCAGUGAUAAACUGGAGGAAGGUGGGGAUGACGUCAAGUCAUCAUGGCCCUUACGACCAGGGCUACACACGUGCUACAAUGGCAUAUACAAAGAGAAGCGACCUCGCGAGAGCAAGCGGACCUCAUAAAGUAUGUCGUAGUCCGGAUUGGAGUCUGCAACUCGACUCCAUGAAGUCGGAAUCGCUAGUAAUCGUAGAUCAGAAUGCUACGGUGAAUACGUUCCCGGGCCUUGUACACACCGCCCGUCACACCAUGGGAGUGGGUUGCAAAAGAAGUAGGUAGCUUAACCUUCGGGAGGGCGCUUACCACUUUGUGAUUCAUGACUGGGGUGA
This 1463-nucleotide ribosomal RNA is filed under the name uncultured Klebsiella sp. RNAcentral's name for it is "bacterial SSU rRNA". It matches the Rfam family "Bacterial small subunit ribosomal RNA". The record is from RNAcentral. Lineage: Bacteria; Pseudomonadati; Pseudomonadota; Gammaproteobacteria; Enterobacterales; Enterobacteriaceae.